UGAGAUUAGCUAUAGAUGAAUUGGAGCUAGUAGUUGGCUAUACUAUUAACCUUGCUCUAAGAGCAAAUUUAAUAGUAUAGCCAACUGCCGGCACCAAAUCAUCUAUAGCUA
RNAcentral lists this microRNA precursor (111 nucleotides) under Oryza longistaminata (longstamen rice). RNAcentral describes it as "pre miRNA mir-75". The record is from RNAcentral. Lineage: Eukaryota; Viridiplantae; Streptophyta; Magnoliopsida; Poales; Poaceae.